RNAcentral lists this ribosomal RNA (253 nucleotides) under uncultured bacterium. RNAcentral describes it as "partial 16S ribosomal RNA". It matches the Rfam family "Bacterial small subunit ribosomal RNA", at positions 524 to 776 of the family's 1533-position model. The record is from RNAcentral.
GACAGAGGCCCCGAGCGUUAGGCGGAAUCACUGGGCUUAAAGCGUGUGUAGGCGGAUCGUUAAGUGCCUUGUGAAAUCCCACGGCUCAACCGUGGAACUGCUUGGCAUACUGGCGGUCUUGAGCAACCUAGGGGCAAGCGGAACAAAUGGUGGAGCGGUGAAAUGCGUAGAUAUCUGGAGGAACACCGGUGGCGAAGGCGGCAUCCUGGACCGACAUUGACGCUGAGGCGCGAAAGCCAGGGGAGCAAACGGG